Molecule: ribosomal RNA, 774 nt
Filed under: uncultured Neocallimastigales
Lineage: Eukaryota; Fungi; Neocallimastigomycota; Neocallimastigomycetes; Neocallimastigales
Description: partial large subunit ribosomal RNA
Rfam family: Eukaryotic large subunit ribosomal RNA
Source: RNAcentral
GUACACGCUGUGACUAGCAUAUCAAUAAGCGGAGGAAAAGAAACUAACAAGGAUUCCCCUAGUAACGGCGAGUGAAGCGGGAAGAGUUCAAAUUUGAAAUCUUAAAGGGUUUCCCUUUACGAAUUGUAGUUUAAAGAAGUGUUUUCUGUUGAGGUUUUGGUAAAAGUUCUUUGGAAUAGGACAUCAUAGAGGGUGAGAAUCCCGUAUUUGACCUUUACUUUCAACUUUGUGAUACACUUUCAAAGGGUCGGAUUGUUUGGGAAUGCAGUCCAAAAUGGGUGGUAAAUUUCAUCUAAAGCUAAAUAUUGGCGAGAGACCGAUAGCGAACAAGUACCGUGAGGGAAAGAUGAAAAGAACUUUGAAAAGAGAGUUAAACAGUACGUGAAAUUGUCAAAAGGGAAGCGUUUGACACCAGUGUUGUUUUUCUGAAAAUCAAUUAAAGAACUGUUUAUGCUAAGUUGUUUAGACUUUAUCAGCUAACUGUUUAGUUUUGAGCUUUUCUUUAAUGCACUUUUCAGUUAACAAGUCAACAUCAAUUUCUUUUGCUGUAAAAAAGCUUGGGGAAGGUGGCUUGAGAUUCGUCUUAAGUGUUUAUAGCCUCUUGCCUAUGCAGUCGGAGAGAUUGAGGUCUGCAGCGUAGAUCCUUCGGGGCUAAAUGCAUUUGUGCUAAGUUAUAGCAUUUUAUAGACAACUUGUUGACUAUGAUUUGUCUUGUAGCUUACUCGCUUAUGUUAUUUUACCUACGCUUAGGAUGUUGAGUCGUAGAGCACGCAG